GCCAGCCGCCGCGGUAACACCGGCGGCCCGAGUGGUGAUCGUGAUUAUUGGGUCUAAAGGGUCCGUAGCCGGUUGGUCAGUCCUCCGGGAAAUCUGAUAGCUCAACUAUUAGGCUUUCGGGGGAUACUGCCAGACUUGGAACCGGGAGAGGUAAGAGGUACUACAGGGGGUAGGAGUGAAAUCUUGUAAUCCCUGUGGGACCACCUGUGGCGAAGGCGUCUUACCAGAACGGGUUCGACGGUGAGGGACGAAAGCUGGGGCACGAACCGGAUUAGAUACCCGGGUAGUCCCAGCCGUAAACGAUGCUCGCUAGGUGUCAGGCAUGGCGCGACCGUGUCUGGUGCCGCAGGGAAGCCGUGAAGCGAGCCACCUGGGAAGUACGGCCGCAAGGCUGAAACUUAAAGGAAUUGGCGGGGGAGCACAACAACGGGUGGAGCCUGCGGUUUAAUUGGACUCAACGCCGGACAACUCACCGGGGGCGACAGCAAUAUGUAGGCCAAGCUGAAGACUUUGCCUGAAUCGCUGAGGGGAGGUGCAUGG
RNAcentral lists this ribosomal RNA (540 nucleotides) under uncultured archaeon. RNAcentral describes it as "bacterial SSU rRNA". It matches the Rfam family "Archaeal small subunit ribosomal RNA", at positions 457 to 997 of the family's 1478-position model. The record is from RNAcentral.